This 608-nucleotide long non-coding RNA is filed under the name Homo sapiens (human). RNAcentral describes it as "non-protein coding lnc-RFPL2-1:1". Lineage: Eukaryota; Metazoa; Chordata; Mammalia; Primates; Hominidae. The record is from RNAcentral.
ACAUCGUCUAUGCUUCAUUCGGGGGGCCAGUGACUUGAUCACUGUUUGACAUGUUGUUUUCUACGUCACCAAGUGAAUAAUAGACCUGUGCCAACAGGGCCCAGCAUGAUCCGAUCCUCAUGGCGUUUUCCUUUCUCCUAUUGCAGGCAAAGGAGAGAUAUGAAGAUUACCUCUGCUGGGUUAAGAUGGCACGGUCUCGGCUCAAUGAACCCAUCAGCAGCCAGGUUCUAGGACUUCUCCGGCUUUAGUGUUCCAAGUAGCUGGGAUUACAGACGCCUGCCAUCACGCCCAGCUCAAAUCAUUUUAUGAAUGCAUAUUUCCAUCUGGGUGAAAAAAAAAUCACAAGCCUCUCUCUCUUCCUACUGAGCACCUGUGAACAGUGACCUGCAGUUUGUGGCUGCAGCCAGUCCUCUUGCAGCCUGGUGUUCUUACAUUUCAUUCUGAGGCUCACAUUCUCAGUCACCAUGCAGAAGAACACCCGCCCCAUCCUGGGUCAUUACAGAGUGGGUCAAUCCAUCUGCUGCAUCUGAAGAGCUGGGUCCAGCUUCUACAGUGAAUCCAUAUAUUUCUGUAUUUCCUGGAUAAGGAAGAGCAAAGGAGCUGAGCUG